GGGAACUGAAACAUCUAAGUACCCCGAGGAAAAGAAAUCAACCGAGAUUCCCCCAGUAGCGGCGAGCGAACGGGGAGCAGCCCAGAGCCUGAAUCAGUGUGUGUGUUAGUGGAAGCGUCUGGAAAGGCGCGCGAUACAGGGUGACAGCCCCGUACACAAAAAUGCACAUGCUGUGAGCUCGAUGAGUAGGGCGGGACACGUGGUAUCCUGUCUGAAUAUGGGGGGACCAUCCUCCAAGGCUAAAUACUCCUGACUGACCGAUAGUGAACCAGUACCGUGAGGGAAAGGCGAAAAGAACCCCGGCGAGGGGAGUGAAAAAGAACCUGAAACCGUGUACGUACAAGCAGUGGGAGCACAGAGCAAUCUGUGUGACUGCGUACCUUUUGUAUAAUGGGUCAGCGACUUAUAUUCUGUAGCAAGGUUAACCGAAUAGGGGAGCCGAAGGGAAACCGAGUCUUAACUGGGCGUUAAGUUGCAGGGUAUAGACCCGAAACCCGGUGAUCUAGCCAUGGGCAGGUUGAAGGUUGGGUAACACUAACUGGAGGACCGAACCGACUAAUGUUGAAAAAUUAGCGGAUGACUUGUGGCUGGGGGUGAAAGGCCAAUCAAACCGGGAGAUAGCUGGUUCUCCCCGAAAGCUAUUUAGGUAGCGCCUCGUGAAUUCAUCUCCGGGGGUAGAGCACUGUUUCGGCAAGGGGGUCAUCCCGACUUACCAACCCGAUGCAAACUGCGAAUACCGGAGAAUGUUAUCACGGGAGACACACGGCGGGUGCUAACGUCCGUCGUGAAGAGGGAAACAACCCAGACCGCCAGCUAAGGUCCCAAAGUCAUGGUUAAGUGGGAAACGAUGUGGGAAGGCCCAGACAGCCAGGAUGUUGGCUUAGAAGCAGCCAUCAUUUAAAGAAAGCGUAAUAGCUCACUGGUCGAGUCGGCCUGCGCGGAAGAUGUAACGGGGCUAAACCAUGCACCGAAGCUGCGGCAGCGACGCUUAUGCGUUGUUGGGUA
RNAcentral lists this ribosomal RNA (1005 nucleotides) under Escherichia coli. RNAcentral describes it as "partial 23S ribosomal RNA". It matches the Rfam family "Bacterial large subunit ribosomal RNA", at positions 188 to 1230 of the family's 2925-position model. Lineage: Bacteria; Pseudomonadati; Pseudomonadota; Gammaproteobacteria; Enterobacterales; Enterobacteriaceae. The record is from RNAcentral.